This 502-nucleotide ribosomal RNA is filed under the name uncultured Nitrospira sp. RNAcentral's name for it is "bacterial SSU rRNA". It matches the Rfam family "Bacterial small subunit ribosomal RNA", at positions 389 to 894 of the family's 1533-position model. The record is from RNAcentral. Lineage: Bacteria; Pseudomonadati; Nitrospirota; Nitrospiria; Nitrospirales; Nitrospiraceae.
CAGCCACGCCGCGUGGGGGAUGAAGGUCUUCGGAUUGUAAACCCCUUUCGGGAGGGAAGAUGGAGCGAGCAAUCGUUCGGACGGUACCUCCAGAAUCAGCCACAGCCAACUUCGUGCCACCAGCCGCGGUAAUACGAAGGUGGCAAGCGUUGUUCGGAUUCACUGGGCGUACAGGGUGUGUAUGGCGGUUUGGUAAGCCUUCUGUUAAACGCUUCGGGCCCAACCCGGAAAGCGCAGAGGGUACUGCCAGGCUAGAGGGUGGGAGAGGAGCGCGGAAUUCCCGGUGUAGCGGUGAAAUGCGUAGAGAUCGGGAGGAAGGCCGGUGGCGAACGCGGCGCUCUGGAACAUACCUGACGCUGAGACACGAAAGCGUGGGGAGCAAACAGGAUUAGAUACCCUGGUAGUCCACGCCCUAAACUAUGGAUACUAAGUGUCGGCGGGUUACCGCCGGUGCCGCAGCUAACGCAUUAAGUAUCCCGCCUGGGAAGUACGGCCGCAGGGG